Long non-coding RNA from Episyrphus balteatus (marmalade hoverfly), 285 nucleotides. RefSeq lists it as uncharacterized. Lineage: Eukaryota; Metazoa; Arthropoda; Insecta; Diptera; Syrphidae. The record is from RefSeq and is a predicted model, not a curated record. The transcript has 3 exons.
UUCUAAAAUAUUUUUUUACCGAAUAACGGGAAAACCAAGUUUUUUUGGCCCAUUUUUUUACCGUUCUUUUUUGUAUUUCUAUCUUUUUUUUUUUCUUAAACAGAUAGAUGAAAGAAAUUUAUGCUGUAGAUAGGAUAGAAAGGACUAUAAACGUGCGUCGUACAGAUUGGACUGAAGCAUUUUAUUAAAGCUGAAAUAAUAAGUUUUCAGAUGAUGUAAAAGUUAUUUGUUUGCAUUCAAAAAAUUCCAAAUCUUUUUGUAGAUGUCGUGCAGACAUGACUGAGG